UACGUAGGGGGCGAGCGUUGUCCGGAAUUACUGGGCGUAAAGGGCGUGUAGGCGGCCAGAUAAGUCAGAUGUGAAAUCCCAAGGCUUAACCUUGGAGUUGCAUUUGAAACUGUAGGGCUUGAGGGCAGGGGAGGGAAGCGGAAUUCCCAGUGUAGCGGUGAAAUGCGUAGAUAUUGGGAGGAACACCAGUGGCGAAGGCGGCUUCCUGGACUGCACCUGACGCUGAGGCGCGAAAGCUAGGGGAGCGAACGGGAUUAGAUACCCCGGUAGUCCUAGCCGUAAACGAUGGGUACUAGGUGUGGGAGGUAUCGACCCCUUCCGUGCCGCAGUUAACGCAAUAAGUACCCCGCCUGGGGAGUACGGCCGCAAGGUUGAA
RNAcentral lists this ribosomal RNA (376 nucleotides) under uncultured bacterium. RNAcentral's name for it is "bacterial SSU rRNA". It matches the Rfam family "Bacterial small subunit ribosomal RNA", at positions 524 to 898 of the family's 1533-position model. The record is from RNAcentral.